UCGAACGGAUCCUUCGGGAUUAGUGGCGGACGGGUGAGUAACACGUGGGAACGUGCCUUUUGGUUCGGAACAACUCAGGGAAACUUGAGCUAAUACCGGAUAAGCCUUUCGAGGGAAAGAUUUAUCGCCAUUAGAGCGGCCCGCGUAGGAUUAGCUAGUUGGUGAGGUAAAGGCUCACCAAGGCUACGAUCCUUAGCUGGUCUGAGAGGAUGAUCAGCCACAUUGGGACUGAGACACGGCCCAAACUCCUACGGGAGGCAGCAGUGGGGAAUCUUGCGCAAUGGGCGAAAGCCUGACGCAGCCAUGCCGCGUGAAUGAUGAAGGUCUUAGGAUUGUAAAAUUCUUUCACCGAGGACGAUAAUGACGGUACUCGGAGAAGAAGCCCCGG
This 388-nucleotide ribosomal RNA is filed under the name alpha proteobacterium BAL136. RNAcentral describes it as "bacterial SSU rRNA". It matches the Rfam family "Bacterial small subunit ribosomal RNA", at positions 62 to 496 of the family's 1533-position model. The record is from RNAcentral. Lineage: Bacteria; Pseudomonadati; Pseudomonadota; Alphaproteobacteria.